Molecule: ribosomal RNA, 255 nt
Filed under: uncultured bacterium
Lineage: Bacteria
Description: partial 16S ribosomal RNA
Rfam family: Bacterial small subunit ribosomal RNA
Source: RNAcentral
UACGAAGGGGGCUAGCGUUGCUCGGAAUCACUGGGCGUAAAGGGUGCGUAGGCGGGUCUUUUAAGUCAGGGGUGAAAUCCUGGAGCUCAACUCCAGAACUGCCUUUGAUACUGAGGAUCUUGAGUCCGGGAGAGGUGAGUGGAACUGCGAGUGUAGAGGUGAAAUUCGUAGAUAUUCGCAAGAACACCAGUGGCGAAGGCGGCUCACUGGCCCGGUACUGACGCUGAGGUGCGAAAGCGUGGGGAGCAAACAGGG